This is a non-coding RNA of Tinamus guttatus (white-throated tinamou), 694 nucleotides long. Lineage: Eukaryota; Metazoa; Chordata; Aves; Tinamiformes; Tinamidae. The record is from RefSeq and is a predicted model, not a curated record.
UCAGCUGUUUUACUUGCUGUAACUGUUUCUUGCUCCCCACAGUUCUACAUUGUCCCAGUAAUUCUACGCCUUUCAUAUUUCUUCUUUUUGUACCUAAAACAUAUAUAUGAACUUUACUUCUUGUUAAUGCUCACAAUUAUAAUGGUUAUUAUAAUGAUUUCAAGCAAACAGCUCUUGUUUAAAAAAGUCUCUCUAACAUACUGUAAGUAAAGACUAUAAUUUUAGGAUUGGCAGCCGCUUUCCAUCUACUGGGAUUAACGUUCAAAAGCAAAUAAAGAUUACUGGAAAUAUGGUUCUUUGUUUACAAUAACUUUUGUGUAUGAUGAUGCAUAGGGUUUUCUUUUCUUUUUUUUUCUUUUUUUUAAGGUUAAAAAAAGCAUCAGCAUUUCCUAUAUAGCAUGCUGAGAGGAGAAAUGAGCUGGAAGGCACAUCUGCAGCCCCAGGUCAAGUUUUCAUCUUACGCUCAUCAGAUUGAGUGUAGAAGAGCUGAAGUGCUCUUGGAUGAAGUGAGUCUCUUGAACACACCAGUUAAUGAAGAUGUCUUUAGAGAACAUGGCAUGGUUUACAAACACUGAAGUCCGUAAGGCUGGGUUUAUAAUUCUCAAGCACACAUCAUCUCCCCCUCCCCCUUACAAUUCUCUUCCCUGCAUCUUCCUUUCUUCAGCACAGGAAAUGAAGAUAAUUGUUUCUAAGA